GAUGAACGCUGGCGGCGUGCUUAACACAUGCAAGUCGAACGGUGAAAGCGGAGCUUGCUCUGCUGGAUCAGUGGCGAACGGGUGAGUAACACGUGAGCAAUCUGCCCUUGACUCUGGGAUAAGCGCUGGAAACGGCGUCUAAUACCGGAUACGAGCUGCGAAGGCAUCUUCAGCAGCUGGAAAGAACUUCGGUCAAGGAUGAGCUCGCGGCCUAUCAGCUUGUUGGUGAGGUAACGGCUCACCAAGGCGGCGACGGGUAGCCGGCCUGAGAGGGUGACUGGCCACACUGGGACUGAGACACGGCCCAGACUCCUACGGGAGGCAGCAGUGGGGAAUAUUGCACAAUGGGCGCAAGCCUGAUGCAGCAACGCCGCGUGAGGGACGACGGCCUUCGGGUUGUAAACCUCUUUUAGCAGGGAAGAAGCGAAAGUGACGGUACCUGCAGAAAAAGAACCGGCUAACUACGUGCCAGCCGCCGCGGUAA
This 484-nucleotide ribosomal RNA is filed under the name uncultured bacterium. RNAcentral's name for it is "partial 16S ribosomal RNA". It matches the Rfam family "Bacterial small subunit ribosomal RNA", at positions 28 to 523 of the family's 1533-position model. The record is from RNAcentral.